GUAUUGAGAAGUACUGACCGAUCCAUUUUAUAUCAGAUUGCUAGUUGUUUAUUUUCAUUGGCAUGGUCCAGUAUAUUUGGGGGGUUUCGCGUGGUGUUUGUUUUUUGGAGAUGGUCAUGGAGUAGGAUACUCGUGUGCUCAUCCCCUGUUUGAUUUUUUGCGGUCAUCAACAGAGCACAUGCUUGGAUCAUUUUGGGUAAAUAUCACGGCCGUGAAUCGCAGGUGAGCUACCCUCAUUGCUGAGAUCAUUUUCGAAAUAUGUUCCACACUAUACUAAGCAACUUAAGCAAUUUUUCUAUUUAACACAGGCAUUAACCUGAUCAUAGACAGGCAAUAAUAUUCUAUUAAUUAGGCAAAGUACCAUUUAUGUGUUGGCUAUAGUACCAUUUAUUUAUGCUGUAGUUGCAUUGUUUCAGUAGCUAGCAGCUUUUUUGUUUUGUCUCAGCUAACAACUCCAACUACAGCAGCAACACUUAUGUGCUUUUUCUUCAGAGCUAGCCUUUUGUGAAUUUGCUAAUUAGUAAGUUGGUUAAAUGUUGCAUUAUUAGCAGCUUGGUUUGCUCAUCUGGAUUAGCUCUAUUGUGCAGGCAUGUCAAUUCAGUAGCUGCAGCUGCAGCUCGAUCAACAGCUGCAAGUGGACAUAAGAAGAAUGCUCAGGUUUCACUCAGGUGAAUUAAUCUUCAUAUCUAUUUCAUGCUAUAGAUCUAGUGAUUUGACAAUCAUUGCUUGCUUGGUCCAUGUUUUUAGUAAUGCUUUUAACUGCUCGUAAGCUCUAGUAAGCUUUUCAGUCACCUCUUAGUUAGCACUUA
Molecule: long non-coding RNA, 809 nt
Organism: Panicum virgatum (switchgrass)
Lineage: Eukaryota; Viridiplantae; Streptophyta; Magnoliopsida; Poales; Poaceae
Exons: 3
Source: RefSeq, a predicted model, not a curated record